UACGACUCUCGGCAAUGGAUAUCUUGGCUCUUGCAUCGAUGAAGAGCGCAGCGAAAUGCGAUACGUGGUGUGAAUUGCAGAAUCCCGUGAACCAUCGAGUUUUUGAACGCAAGUUGCGCCCGAGGCCAAUUGGCUAAGGGCACGUCCGCCUGGGCGUCAAGC
Molecule: ribosomal RNA, 162 nt
Filed under: Pterostylis trullifolia
Lineage: Eukaryota; Viridiplantae; Streptophyta; Magnoliopsida; Asparagales; Orchidaceae
Description: 5.8S ribosomal RNA
Rfam family: 5.8S ribosomal RNA
About the family: 5.8S ribosomal RNA (5.8S rRNA) is a component of the large subunit of the eukaryotic ribosome. It is transcribed by RNA polymerase I as part of the 45S precursor that also contains 18S and 28S rRNA.
Source: RNAcentral